UUUUCUUUUCCAGUUGACAUUCAGUUAGCAUUUGUGAACAAUCGGAGCAUUCAAAUUCUUGCUUAUUUGUGUUAUUUCUAUGAUUGAAUGGUUUGUUUUUUCAACAUCAAGUUUGUAAUUCAUAUGUAAUUAGGUUUAACCGAAAGUUGCUUCUUCACCCGCAGAUUAGAUGAAAUUGCUGUUAAAUGCACUAGACAUUUUGAAAACCUUUUUUGCUCUCCUUUGAAAGGUGGUUGUUUGUUGCUUGAGUAGUAUCUUUAAAAUGUCUAUCUUUAGAGAAAUUUAAGAAACAAUAAUUAAAAUAGCCAUGAUGAUGUUAAGAUGCAUAAUCCAACUUCGAACGUUGAGGUAGUGGAUUCUUUUUAUCCCUCUCUUGGCAAAUGAUUUGACAAUUUUGGGAGAUAUUCAUAUACGUGCAUCCUUUGGGCAUUUCAUGUACUGUAGUGUCA
This 449-nucleotide long non-coding RNA is filed under the name Trifolium pratense (red clover). Its description in RNAcentral is "long non-coding RNA (TPRA_LNC011261)". Lineage: Eukaryota; Viridiplantae; Streptophyta; Magnoliopsida; Fabales; Fabaceae. The record is from RNAcentral.